Molecule: ribosomal RNA, 761 nt
Filed under: uncultured bacterium
Lineage: Bacteria
Description: bacterial SSU rRNA
Rfam family: Bacterial small subunit ribosomal RNA
Source: RNAcentral
GUCGAGCGGGAACGUUCACUGUUUCUAGCGGCGGACGGGUGAGUAACGCGUGAGCACCUGCCUUUAUCAGGGGGAUAACGCAUCGAAAGAUGUGCUAAUACCGCGUAAGUUCCAUGGACAAAGGAGCAAUCCGGAUAAAGAUGGGCUCGCGUCCGAUUAGCUAGUUGGUGAGAUAACAGCCCACCAAGGCGACGAUCGGUAGCCGACCUGAAGGGUGAUCGGCCACAUUGGAACUGAGAGACGGUCCAGACUCCUACGGGAGGCAGCAGUGGGGAAUAUUGGGCAAUGGGCGAAAGCCUGACCCAGCAACGCCGCGUGAGGGAAGAAGGGUUUCGGCUCGUAAACCUCUGUCCUGGACGAAGGAAGUGACGGUACCAUAGGAGGAAGCCCCGGCUAACUACGUGCCAGCAGCCGCGGUAAUACGUAGGGGGCGAGCGUUGUCCGGAAUGAUUGGGCGUAAAGGGCGCGUAGGCGGCCUGCUAAGUCUGGAGUGAAAGUCCUGCUUUCAAGGUGGGAAUUGCUUUGGAUACUGGUGGGCUGGAGUGCAGGAGAGGAAAGCGGAAUUACCGGUGUAGCGGUGAAAUGCGUAGAGAUCGGUAGGAACACCAGUGGCGAAGGCGGCUUCUGGACUGAAACUGACGCUGAGGCGCGAAAGCGUGGGGAGCAAACAGGAUUAGAUACCCUGGUAGUCCACGCGGUAAACGAUGAAUGCUAGGUGUAGGAGGAUCGACCUUCUGUGCCGCAGUAAACACAAUAAGCAU